UACGUAGGGUCCGAGCGUUGUCCGGAUUUAUUGGGCGUAAAGAGCUCGUAGGCGGUUUCGUAAGUCGGAUGUGAAAUCUCAGGGCUCAACCCGGAAACUGCACCCGAUACUGCGAUGACUUGAGUCUGGUAGGGGAACACGGAAUUCCUGGUGUAGCGGUGAAAUGCGUAGAUAUCAGGAGGAAUACCGAUGGCGAAGGCAGGUCUCUGGGCUGACACUGACGCUCAUGCACGAAAGCGUGGGGAGCAAACAGG
Molecule: ribosomal RNA, 254 nt
Filed under: uncultured bacterium
Lineage: Bacteria
Description: partial 16S ribosomal RNA
Rfam family: Bacterial small subunit ribosomal RNA
Source: RNAcentral